CAUGUAAAAUACAUGUGCUUAGAUUAACACAAGUGAAGGACUUGACGCAGGACCCACAUAAGAAUUCAUAACAAGGAGCAAAGAAUUCAUCUUGAUUGUCUCUUUGAAAAAUAAGAAAGUCUCAAGUCCAGCCAGUUUGACCACUGUUAUAUAUGGUCCAUCCAACUGAUAACUUUCAACCUAUUAAGUGAAUGCAACGACCAAUCUCACCAAUAUAAGUUCAGCCCCUCUACUGAUGGGCUACACCAUAGAAAAUAUUGUGGUCUACUCUAUGAGUGAAUGGAUUUGACUGAUUUUUACAAAAGGCAAUUGUCAUGUUGGGCCCAACCCAGUGGAAGUAUUUGAUGUCUCACACACAAAAAGGGUUGGAAGUUAUCCCCUUGGGGGACCAUAACUUGUGGUUCAACCGGUCUUGAGACCU
Molecule: long non-coding RNA, 421 nt
Organism: Magnolia sinica
Lineage: Eukaryota; Viridiplantae; Streptophyta; Magnoliopsida; Magnoliales; Magnoliaceae
Exons: 2
Source: RefSeq, a predicted model, not a curated record